Long non-coding RNA from Mastomys coucha (southern multimammate mouse), 2052 nucleotides. RefSeq lists it as uncharacterized. The transcript is spliced from 3 exons. Lineage: Eukaryota; Metazoa; Chordata; Mammalia; Rodentia; Muridae. The record is from RefSeq and is a predicted model, not a curated record.
GACGUAGAGUAACUGUAGCUGUUGGUUCAGUUAGUCACCCCAUACCCUUCAUCAACUUUCCCCUCCCCCUACAUCAUUUCACCUCAGCAGAAAACUCUGCCUCCUCUCUCAGCCCUUUAUAAAGAAAAGAUUGAUACAAUAAAACGAGUUUCUGCUUGGACAGACUCCUGGCUUGGUUGGUUAUUCUCCGGAGGCAGGAGAUCCAAGCCAGGACACUCACCAUCCCGCUCAACCCCGAGAGAGAGAGGCUCGAGAAAGGCUCUGCUGGACCCGGUUCUCUCCCUCUCUCGCCUGGUUCUGUCGGCAGAGAGCCUGCCUGGCAAGGGUACAUGAAGGAGUAAAGGCUUUACAUGCCAGGAGGGAACUCUGGGGACCGAGGCUUUCUUGAUUUUCUUCUGCUUCCCUUGCUUACUCAAAAGCAAGACCAAAUCAGGAGGGACAGCAAGCUUUUUUGCAGAAGCCCAACAGCAAACAAAGAAGAAAGAAAAGGGCAAAAGAAAACAGAAGACCAAGUGUGGGCCAUAUUUAGCUCAUUUUAUCAAAUCAACAUAAUUCUCUUGUGGCAAGAAUAUUUCUGGUGCGGUUGUAAAGUCGUAUUAUUGUGAAUUUUUAGGGCAUCCAAUUUUACUGUUUUGCAGUUGUAGUUUACAAGAAAACACACCCAGCCACCUUAGAGAAAAACACAUCUGUGGCCUGGGCCCACCUCCCCUAUUUCCCUGUACCCUCAUACUGUUCAUAACUGCAAAAUAGAUGCACAGAACCUACAACCCUCAAGCCUGCUUUUCAGGCUCAUAACAGGGUCCCAGAGCCACUAGAUUUUUAUUUGAAUUAUAAUGAACACAUCAAAGCCAAAGAGGACCAAAGAGACACAUUAGAUAGGACCAAAUCAGUCUCUUAGUAACAGGCCAUGGUGAUGUAAAUACACUUGACAAUGGUGUCAAUGACCAGUGCACCUUCAUGUACCUCAGCCGGGAAUCAACCCUGGUCAUAUGCUGUGAUACAGCUGAGGUCUAGACUCCUGAGUUUGAGUCCCAACUCCCAACCAUGUCACUAAUCACCUGGCAGGACAGUAGUAAGUGACAGUAAGGGACAUAAACCCUGGAGAAGGGUCCAGCAUGAUGCUAAUCCAGACCCAUGCUGGGACUGCACACCAUGAGCUGUGAACAUCUCUCACACAUCUUUAACAGAAGGGUUAAAACAAACCUAUGGAUUUCUCAGCAGAGUGCAUCUGCUCUUCCACUGGCUGGAGCCAGUCUUUCCCCUGGUUGAAGGGAAGAACAUGACAGAACAUCUCCAUACCUCCUAUGUCUCCAGCUCUAACUACAACUAUGAAACCAAUGCCAGAGAGCCAAGGAGGAUAAAGGAGCCAGAGGUUGAACUGAUGCUCUUUCUCCAUCCUUGGCUCUCAAACUGUCCUUGUUUUAUUUAUUCAUGGAAAACUUGCUGUGUCUUUUCCUCCCUUCCUCCUUGCAAAGUCAGUGAGCUCCCUGAGCCGCUACACACUACCCACCGCUAUCCAAAGGCAACUGAGUCAGUGAGCUCCCUGAGCAGCUACACACUACCCACCGCUAUCCAAAGGCAACCGGGGGAAUUCCCUCCACAUUAUCUAGAACCUUCAAUUGCAAAGAGCACUGAAAAGAAGCUGAUGGGUAAAGGAAGCACGGCAGUGGCAGGAGGUGGCGAGCGCUCUGAAAAGCACCGCUGCCUGCUGGCUCUGAUGAUGAAGCCGCUGGGAAGGGCUGGGAAGGGCCUCCUCCGGCUUGCUGGAAAGGGCUCUCUGUGAUUAUAGCAAGCUUCACCUAAGGGGGAAAAAAGAGGUCUUGAGAGUCAUCCAAACCAGCAUGUGGGAAAGAUUGCUAAAAACCAGCCCAGCCCUUCCUUCUACCUGUUCAGGGGACAGCUCUGCUUCCUCCAUGGCAGGCUUAGCCUCCUGGCCUAGAGUUUCAUUUUAUUCUGUUCAUUUGUGGGGGUGGGGGGUGGAGGGAGUGAAACAGAGCUUUGUGUUGCCCAGCCCACCUUCCCCAACGCUAGAAUUAUAGGCCUGCAUGCUAA